This 424-nucleotide ribosomal RNA is filed under the name Verrucomicrobiota bacterium. Its description in RNAcentral is "Verrucomicrobia bacterium partial 16S ribosomal RNA". It matches the Rfam family "Bacterial small subunit ribosomal RNA", at positions 355 to 776 of the family's 1533-position model. The record is from RNAcentral. Lineage: Bacteria; Pseudomonadati; Verrucomicrobiota.
UGAGGAAUAUUGGUCAAUGGACGCAAGUCUGAACCAGCCAAGUAGCGUGCAGGAUGACGGCCCUAUGGGUUGUAAACUGCUUUUAUAUGGGGAUAAAGUGGGGAACGUGUUCUCUUUUGCAGGUACCAUAUGAAUAAGGACCGGCUAAUUCCGUGCCAGCAGCCGCGGUAAUACGGAAGGUUCGGGCGUUAUCCGGAUUUAUUGGGUUUAAAGGGAGCGUAGGCCGUUUGGUAAGCGUGUUGUGAAAUGUAGGAGCUCAACUUCUAGAUUGCAGCGCGAACUGUCAGACUUGAGUGCGCACAACGUAGGCGGAAUUCAUGGUGUAGCGGUGAAAUGCUUAGAUAUCAUGAAGAACACCGAUGGCGAAGGCAGGUCUCUGGGUAGUAACUGACGCUGAGGAGCGAAAGCAUGGGUAGCGAACAGG